GAUGCCUUCCAUAACGUGUAAAGUAAGAAGUUAGCCUGUGUUAAAAAGUGGUGAUCCCUGCAGAUUACCAAGGCAUCCAGUCUCCCAGCAAGUGCCAAGAGGCAUUCAUUCAAUGCUCCGCUGACACCAAUUUGCCCAAAGAAUAUUUAUGUGGGAGACUCCUCAGAUUGUGGAGACCCCAGAUUGUGGAGGCUCCUGGGCAGCUGGUCUUUUUGUGGACUCCUAAAUCUGGCACUGAACAAAAUUCUCUCUCUCUCUCUCUCUCUCUCUCUCUCUCUCUCUCUCUCUCUCUCUCUCUCUCUCUCUCUCUCUCUCUCUCUCUCUCUCUCUCUCUCUCUCUCUCUCUCUCUCUCUCUCUCUCUCUCUCUCUCUCUCUCUCUCUCUCUCUCUCUCUCUCUCCUCUCUCUCUCUCUCUCUCUCUCUCUCUCUCUCUCUCUCUCUCUCUCUCUCUCUCUCUCUCUCUCUCUCUCUCCUCAACUCUCAACCACUGGAUGGUAUAUCAGUUCACACAGCAAGAAGCCAAGGACCCACCGAGGCUGUCACUUGGAAGAGGUCAUUGUUGUUGCAUCCAGCAUCCCAGCCUGACUGCCUAGACAGGUCCCGCAGGUUGCUGAAUGGCAGAGGUGCAGGCUGCUCCACAGCAAGAUGUGAGACCAGUGUGGCAGAGUAUGAUGUGUACACAAUGAGGGACACACUGUAGCCAACCCAGUAGAUUACCCGUGCUGCAGUGCUGAUUGGGUCCUCACCUUGUUGUAGGAGAGCUGACAACAUGUACCAGCCAGCAGCAACUCCCAUGCUAACAGGCUUCUCCCCCGUGGGUAUGUAGCACCUCUGGAGUCGCUCGAUGAAGAAGAGGAUGCUGGCGAGGCCUGUCGUGUUAGCCGGGAUGCGCCGGUACAGAGCUGUGUCCGUUGGGGUUGUGUAGGCAAGCAUCUUCUUGGCAAGGUCCUCGUAGGUGGCCGCAAACAGUUUACGGCUGUGGGAUGAGAACUUGUCUUGUGAAUGUGACGUUGGGAGGAGGGAAGCACAGGGGAGGAGGAGGACGAGGAGGAAGAGAGUGAAGAGUCACAAGAGGAGGAGGAAGGUGGAAAGAAAGAGGAAGGAGAGGAGGAGGAGGAGGAGGAGGAGGAGGAAGAUGGAGAAGGAAAGGAGAAAGAUAAGAAGGAAGGCAAUGUAGAAUGGAGGCGUCCUUGGUUUAUGUUCAGUAAAGCCCCGUAUUCUUGUCAUGGCAAUGUAGAAUGGAGGCGUCCUUGGUUUAUGUUCAGUAAAGCCCUGUAUUCUUGUCAUGGCAAUGUAGAAUGGAGACGUCAUUGGUCACAUACUGUUCUAAUGUAUGUGCACUUGCCACGCUGUUCACCAGGCAAAAGGCGUUGCAGAAAGAGCGCGAGAUCACUGUGUUGUGGGAGAAGACAGAGUCCCUUAGUGGUCAGCUGGUGACGGUCCACAACCACAGCCACUUUGAAGAGAAUGGCCUGAGCCACGACCACCUUGCUCAAGAAAAUAUCACGUUGACAGAGCUGAUUAAACAACUAGAAGAUAACCUCAAACUUUCAAAGGUACAGAUACCAAGGGGAAAUUGCUGGGUCAAGUGGCUACACUGACAUCUGAGGUUAGCAGGUUGGAGAGUGAGUGCAGCAGUCUUCAGGUUCAGCUAGACUGUGAGAGGGAUAAGUAUAACAAACUGCUGGGAGAAUCUUUUGCUCAUGAAAAGUUGUCUGAAGAUGUCAUAACUGAACCAAAAGGAGAAACAACAGGAUUGGGAGGAACUGAGCUUUAACAGAAGCUGCAACAACUGCAGGAGGCUCACAGGGUCCUGGAGAGCAGGUUAACUUGCAGCAUGAAGGAGGUGGCAGAUUAGUGAUUUCUGCUGCAUCUCACACACUUCUUAUUCAAUUGCUUGCAGGAUUUGAUAUCAAAGCUGGUGCAGGAAAAGGAAGCAGAUCAUGACCUUCAGCAGCUCGAGAAGAUAAGCAGCGUCCUUAAGAGUCCAGUUGCUAUCUUUAGCAGUGUUGGAACCAGUGAGUCUAAGACACCCACCAGCAGUGGAAAGGUGGCUGACGAGCGCCUCAAGCACUCUGAAAAGGUGGAGCAACAACAAGAAACAGAAAAUUGCAUCCAUCAUUCUUUGCCUGAGGAGGGAAUUGAUGCUCUGUUGACCCUUCACACUGAUGUCCCUCAUGAGGAGGCAGAAUAUGAAUCCUACAGAACUUGCCCAUAGAAAGACCAAAACUGUUACUGCUGCCACACUGCCACCACUUCCACUGACACCAAAAGCCCAACUGUGCAGAGAAUCCUGGACCUCCGCAAUGAAAUGGAGUCCACCAGUCACCUGGAGCACUUUAGCCUCCAAAAGUUCCAUCCGUGUCCAUUGUGUUUGGGUAAACUUAUCACUGUAUAAGGGGACAAGUAUCAGUGUAUGGUUACUAUAUACUCAUUUGUACUUAAAGAUGUCAUGUCACAUCAUUCUCUCUCUCUCUCUCUCUCUCUCUCUCUCUCUCUCUCUCUCUCUCUCUCUCUCUCUCUCUCUCUCUCUCUCUCUCUCUCUCUCUCUCUCUCUCUCUCUCUCUCUCUCUCUCUCUCUCUCUCUCUCUCUCUCUCUCUCUCUCUCUCUCUCUCUCUCUCUCUCUCUCUCUCUCUCUCUCUCUCUCUCUUUCUUUCUUUCUUUCUUUCUUUCUUUCUUUUUGCAUAUUUUACUGCUUUACAUUCCUCCCCACAGUAUUUUUUCAUCUACUUUAUGACUGCAGUAGUUUUAUCAUCCCAGUGUAUGCCGUAUCCACUCUGAAACUGUAAUUCACCAAUCAGCUCAAAUGUGUCUCUGUUUUGAUAAUCAUUAAUUUGUUUCAGCUACACAACCACUCUGAUAAGGGACAAAAUCUACUUCACCAGUCAUCUAUGUCAUACAGUCAUAUAUAUUCAUACAUAUGACAAAAUACUCUUCCUAAGACAUUUCUUAUUUUCUCUUCUCAAGUGACCUGUCCAUCUAUCUAAGGUACCACAUAACAUUUAAAACUUACAAUAUUGCAUUUAAUUCAUGAACAUUUUUUUGUCUAUGUAGACUUGAAAUUGUAUUGCGUAUAGACUUGAAAUGUAUUGGGAGUUUUCUCUAUCUCUCAUUCUAUACCUAACACCUGUUCCUAAGAAUCCCCAGGUGAUAGCCAUGGUGACUGGCUGGUCUCCUACUGAGUGGCUGGGGUUUUCCAAAAGUGAGGGUUGGUGUUCUAUACCAUACCAUGUGCCCUGUUUGUGUUCCUUCUCUAUCCUCUGUAUUAUAUUCUAUGUAAAGAUGGUGCUGGGGUGGGAUCUACUUCUUAUUCCCUAAAAGUGAUGAGGAGUGACACUGGGCAGCAUUAAUUUGCUCCUUAGAGAUGGCUGGGUUCCUGUGGAUGAGUGGGCCAUGCUGUGCUUUGUCAAGGAUGGUGUUUGGUAUUGUGAUGACUCUUGCCACAAUCAAGUGUCUCCCACAGAGUAGUGGAGUACCUAUGUAUGGUGUUGACCCAAGCUGUCCAGGUCUCAUCCAAUGCCUUAAUAUGAUUUAGAUGAUCAAAAUGGUUUAACUCACCAUUUAAUCAGCUGACUGAUUUGAAUGGAGAAGUAUGUAAUGUGUUGUAGCCUAACCAUCCCUGCCAGCAUGGUCAGACUCUUGGUAGUAACCUGAAAUGCUCCUAGGUAGUGAGUAUCAUUGCACAUAAUGAUCUUUACUUUGUCAGUAAUUCAAUGAUACUGAAUAUUACUCUACUGGAUUUUGCUCAGCACUGCUUGGUAACUUUUGGCCAUAAUCCCAGGUCUGGAAUGAUAUGAAGCCAUGUUUUUACAUUCCAUAUGAGACAGGCAAGCACUAUGCUUUGCCUGACUGAUACCUCUACUUUGCAUUUAUGACCCCAGGUAGUUCAUCUCUCUCUCUCUCUCUCUCUCUCUCUCUCUCUCUCUCUCUCUCUCUCUCUCUCUCUCUCUCUCUCUCUCUCUCUCUCUCUCUCUCUCUCUCUCUCUCUCUCUCUCUCUCUCUCUCUCUCUCUCUCUCUCUCUCUCUCUCUCUCUGUUUGGAAUUAUACUGUAUAUUAAGAAAUAUCAUUAAAGAGUGUGUGUGUGUGUGUGUGUAAAAAGUGUUUGCAUUAUUGUGCAUUUGAUAUUAUAGCCCCAGGUUCUUAAAGUUUUCUGGUUUCAUGAUUUAUAAAGAUUGCUAUUUUUAAUAAAGUUAUUGAAAUUGUUA
Scylla paramamosain (green mud crab) is the source of this 4207-nucleotide RNA transcript. RefSeq lists it as uncharacterized. Lineage: Eukaryota; Metazoa; Arthropoda; Malacostraca; Decapoda; Portunidae. The record is from RefSeq and is a predicted model, not a curated record. The transcript is spliced from 8 exons.